Molecule: microRNA, 24 nt
Filed under: Zea mays
Lineage: Eukaryota; Viridiplantae; Streptophyta; Magnoliopsida; Poales; Poaceae
Description: microRNA miR-3180
Source: RNAcentral
ACUAUUUUGAGACGAAGGGAGUAC